RNAcentral lists this ribosomal RNA (569 nucleotides) under uncultured bacterium. Its description in RNAcentral is "bacterial SSU rRNA". It matches the Rfam family "Bacterial small subunit ribosomal RNA", at positions 917 to 1482 of the family's 1533-position model. The record is from RNAcentral.
GGGCCCGCACAAGCGGCGGAGCAUGCGGAUUAAUUCGAUGCAACGCGAAGAACCUUACCAAGGCUUGACAUGAACCGGAAAUACCUGGAAACAGGUGCCCCGCUUGCGGUCGGUUUACAGGUGGUGCAUGGUUGUCGUCAGCUCGUGUCGUGAGAUGUUGGGUUAAGUCCCGCAACGAGCGCAACCCUCGUUCUAUGUUGCCAGCGCGUUAUGGCGGGGACUCAUAGGAGACUGCCGGGGUCAACUCGGAGGAAGGUGGGGACGACGUCAAAUCAUCAUGCCCCUUAUGUCUUGGGCUUCACGCAUGCUACAAUGGCCGGUACAAUGGGUUGCGAUACUGUGAGGUGGAGCUAAUCCCAAAAAGCCGGUCUCAGUUCGGAUUGGGGUCUGCAACUCGACCCCAUGAAGUCGGAGUCGCUAGUAAUCGCAGAUCAGCAACGCUGCGGUGAAUACGUUCCCGGGCCUUGUACACACCGCCCGUCAAGUCACGAAAGUUGGUAACACCCGAAGCCGGUGGCCUAACCCCUAGUGGGAGGGAGCCGUCGAAGGUGGGACCGGCGAUUGGGACU